Molecule: ribosomal RNA, 404 nt
Filed under: Verrucomicrobiota bacterium
Lineage: Bacteria; Pseudomonadati; Verrucomicrobiota
Description: Verrucomicrobia bacterium partial 16S ribosomal RNA
Rfam family: Bacterial small subunit ribosomal RNA
Source: RNAcentral
UGGGGAAUAUUGGACAAUGGGCGCAAGCCUGAUCCAGCCAUGCCGCGUGAGUGAUGAAGGCCCUAGGGUUGUAAAGCUCUUUCACCGGUGAAGAUAAUGACGGUAACCGGAGAAGAAGCCCCGGCUAAUUUCGUGCCAGCAGCCGCGGUAAUACGAAGGGGGCUAGCGUUGUUCGGAUUUACUGGGCGUAAAGCGCACGUAGGCGGACUAUUAAGUCAGGGGUGAAAUCCCGGGGCUCAACCCCGGAACUGCCUUUGAUACUGGUAGUCUUGAGUUCGAGAGAGGUGAGUGGAAUUCCGAGUGUAGAGGUGAAAUUCGUAGAUAUUCGGAGGAACACCAGUGGCGAAGGCGGCUCACUGGCUCGAUACUGACGCUGAGGUGCGAAAGCGUGGGGAGCAAACAGG